Molecule: ribosomal RNA, 253 nt
Filed under: uncultured bacterium
Lineage: Bacteria
Description: partial 16S ribosomal RNA
Rfam family: Bacterial small subunit ribosomal RNA
Source: RNAcentral
UACAGAGGUGGCAAGCGUUGUUCGGAUUUAUUGGGCGUAAAGGGUCCGUAGGCGGCUCGGAAAGUUGGGUGUGAAAUCCUACAGCUUAACUGUAGAACUGCACUCAAAACUCCCGGGCUAGAGUGUGAGAGGGGUGAAGGGAAUUCCCGGUGUAAGGGUGAAAUCUGCAGAGAUCGGGAGGAACACCAGUCGCGAAGGCGCUUCACUGGCUCACUACUGACGCUCAGGGACGAAAGCUAGGGGAGCAAACGGG